AUUGAACGCUGGCGGCAUGCCUUACACAUGCAAGUCGAACGGCAGCACGGGAGCAAUCCUGGUGGCGAGUGGCGAACGGGUGAGUAACAUAUCGGAACGUGCCCAAUAGUGGGGGAUAGCCCGGCGAAAGCCGGAUUAAUACCGCAUACGACCUGAGGGUGAAAGCGGGGAUCGCAAGACCUCGCGCUAUUGGAGCGGCCGAUAUCAGGAUUAGGUAGUUGGUGGGGUAAAGGCCUACCAAGCCUACGAUCUGUAGCUGGUCUGAGAGGACGACCAGCCACACUGGGACUGAGACACGGCCCAGACACCUACGGGUGGCAG
This 321-nucleotide ribosomal RNA is filed under the name uncultured Pseudomonadota bacterium. Its description in RNAcentral is "bacterial SSU rRNA". It matches the Rfam family "Bacterial small subunit ribosomal RNA", at positions 30 to 351 of the family's 1533-position model. The record is from RNAcentral. Lineage: Bacteria; Pseudomonadati; Pseudomonadota.